This 796-nucleotide ribosomal RNA is filed under the name Psorula rufonigra. RNAcentral describes it as "eukaryotic LSU rRNA". It matches the Rfam family "Eukaryotic large subunit ribosomal RNA", at positions 167 to 976 of the family's 3401-position model. Lineage: Eukaryota; Fungi; Ascomycota; Lecanoromycetes; Lecanorales; Psoraceae. The record is from RNAcentral.
GGCGCGGUAUCGGUCUAAGUCCUUUGGAACAGGGUGUCAUAGAGGGUGAGAAUCCCGUAUGUGAUCGGCAACCAACCCCAUGUGAAACCCCUUCGACGAGUCGAGUUGUUUGGGAAUGCAGCUCAAAAUGGGUGGUAAAUUUCAUCCAAAGCUAAAUANCGGCCAGAGACCGAUAGCGCACAAGUAGAGUGAUCGAAAGAUGAAAAGCACUUUGGAAAGAGAGUUAAAAAGCACGUGAAAUUGUUGAAAGGGAAGCGCUUGCAACCAGACCUGCUCGUGGACGAUCAGCGGUGCUUCUCGCGCCGUGNAUUCGUCCGCGAUCAGGCCARCAUCGGUCCAGGCGGUCGGAUAAAGACCUGAAGAAUGUAUCUCCCUCCGGGGAGUGUUAUAGCUUCUUGUGCAAUACGGCCAGCCCGGACCGAGGACCGCGCUUUGGCUAGGAUGCUGGCGUAAUGGUUGCAAGCGACCCGUCUUGAAACACGGACCAAGGAGUCUAACAUCUAUGCGAGUGUUUGGGCGUCAAACCCAUACGCGUAAUGAAAGUGAACGUGAGGUGGGAACCCUUCAGGGGCGCACCAUCGACCGAUCCAGAUGUCUUCGGAUGGAUUUGAGUAAGAGCAUAGCUGUUGGGACCCGAAAGAUGGUGAACUAUGCCUGAAUAGGGUGAAGCCAGAGGAAACUCUGGUGGAGGCUCGCAGCGGUUCUGACGUGCAAAUCGAUCGUCAAAUUUGGGUAUAGGGGCGAAAGACUAAUCGAACCAUCUGAACGAACCGGCGGACCCUGCUGGAUGGUUCAA